CACCAUGUAAGAUGCCUCUUGGCGAGCGCGCACACACACACACACACACAAAUUCGUACAGUGCAUAGUAGUGAAUCACCAAUCUCCACAGCUAUAAAACACAGAGUAAUGUGUAAUCUGAAUGUCAGUGUCAGAGUUUCACAGUCAUAAACCUCAAUUACUGGGAACAUGCAACGGUCGAUUGAGGAAGGAGAGUUAGAAGAGAAGGAAAUUAGAAACAAAGAAGAGAGGGAAGAAAUAAACCCAGAUGGAACUUUAUGUCUCAGAUCAACCUUGAGAAAUCCUUCCACAAUCAGAAGGAAGUCAUACCAGUAGAAUAAAC
Pelobates cultripes (western spadefoot toad) is the source of this 322-nucleotide non-coding RNA. The record is from the annotation of a GenBank genome assembly. Lineage: Eukaryota; Metazoa; Chordata; Amphibia; Anura; Pelobatidae.